Molecule: small nuclear RNA, 107 nt
Organism: Loxodonta africana (African savanna elephant)
Lineage: Eukaryota; Metazoa; Chordata; Mammalia; Proboscidea; Elephantidae
Source: Ensembl
GUGCUUGCUUUGGUGGCACAUAUACUAACACUGGAACAAUACAGAGAAGAUUAGCGUGGCCCCUGUGCAACGAUGACGUGCAAAUUUGUGAAGCAUCCCAUAUUUUU